This 549-nucleotide ribosomal RNA is filed under the name uncultured Glomeromycotina. Its description in RNAcentral is "SSU rRNA". It matches the Rfam family "Eukaryotic small subunit ribosomal RNA", at positions 548 to 1098 of the family's 1831-position model. The record is from RNAcentral. Lineage: Eukaryota; Fungi; Glomeromycota.
UUGGAGGGCAAGUCUGGUGCCAGCAGCCGCGGUAAUUCCAGCUCCAAUAGCGUAUAUUAAAGUUGUUGCAGUUAAAAAGCUCGUAGUUGAAUUUCGGGAUCAAUAUAUCAGUCGUGCCUUUGGUACGUACUGGUAUCAUUGAUUUCUCCUUUCUGACGAAUCAUGAUGUCAUUAAUUUGGUGUUAUGAGGAGUUAGGACUGUUACUUUGAAAAAAUUAGAGUGUUUAAAGCAGGCAUUAGCUUGAAUACAUUAGCAUGGAAUAAUGAAAUAGGACGUUUGACCCUAUUUUGUUGGUUUUUAGGAUCGACGUAAUGAUUAAUAGGGAUAGUUGGGGGCAUUAGUAUUCAAUUGUCAGAGGUGAAAUUCUUGGAUUUAUUGAAGACUAACUACUGCGAAAGCAUUUGCCAAGGAUGUUUUCAUUAAUCAAGAACGAAAGUUAGGGGAUCGAAGACGAUCAGAUACCGUCGUAGUCUUAACCAUAAACUAUGCCGACUAGGGAUCGGAUGAUGUUAAUUUUAUAAUGACUCAUUCGGCGCCUUACGGGGAAC